GACUUGAGAGUAGUGAGUUAUCUCGAUUGAUUAUUCAUAGUCAGUUACAGAUCAAAUUCUUUGUUCUACUCUUCCCCCUUCUCACUACUAUACUGGACUAGUCUUAA
RNAcentral lists this Y RNA (107 nucleotides) under Aotus nancymaae (Ma's night monkey). RNAcentral describes it as "Y RNA (ENSANAG00000007864.1)". It matches the Rfam family "Y RNA". From Rfam's summary of the family: Y RNAs are components of the Ro ribonucleoprotein particle (Ro RNP), in association with Ro60 and La proteins. The Y RNAs and Ro60 and La proteins are well conserved, but the function of the Ro RNP is not known. In humans the RNA component can be one of four small RNAs -- hY1, hY3, hY4 and hY5. Lineage: Eukaryota; Metazoa; Chordata; Mammalia; Primates; Aotidae. The record is from Rfam by way of RNAcentral.